This 497-nucleotide ribosomal RNA is filed under the name uncultured bacterium. RNAcentral describes it as "partial 16S ribosomal RNA". It matches the Rfam family "Bacterial small subunit ribosomal RNA", at positions 28 to 507 of the family's 1533-position model. The record is from RNAcentral.
GACGAACGCUGGCGGCGUGCCUAAUACAUGCAAGUAGAACGCUGAAGAGAGGAGCUUGCUCUUCUUGGAUGAGUUGCGAACGGGUGAGUAACGUGUAGGUAACCUGCCUUGUAGCGGGGGAUAACUAUUGGAAACGAUAGCUAAUACCGCAUAACAAUGGAUGACACAUGUCAUUUAUUUGAAAGGGGCAAUUGCUCCACUACAAGAUGGACCUGCGUUGUAUUAGCUAGUAGGUGAGGUAAUGGCUCACCUAGGCGACGAUACAUAGCCGACCUGAGAGGGUGAUCGGCCACACUGGGACUGAGACACGGCCCAGACUCCUACGGGAGGCAGCAGUAGGGAAUCUUCGGCAAUGGGGGCAACCCUGACCGAGCAACGCCGCGUGAGUGAAGAAGGUUUUCGGAUCGUAAAGCUCUGUUGUAAGUCAAGAACGGGUGUGAGAGUGGAAAGUUCACACUGUGACGGUAGCUUACCAGAAAGGGACGGCUAACUACGUG